AGAAUGAGAAUGCAAUUCAAAGACUAACUUCUCUUUGGGUUGAUUCCAGGGAAUAGCAAAAUCGUCAGCAGUGGGUGAAUGAGUGCGGUCCAAGAAAACCCAUUCACUCACAGAAUUGUAUGCCGAAGUCUGUUCAGAUGUCAUUCUCUUCUUUGAACCACCUCUCUUCUUCUUUUUCUUGUUCUUCGACCCAUUCGCACCUUGUUUUUUG
RNAcentral lists this unclassified non-coding RNA (211 nucleotides) under Hevea brasiliensis (rubber tree). Lineage: Eukaryota; Viridiplantae; Streptophyta; Magnoliopsida; Malpighiales; Euphorbiaceae. The record is from RNAcentral.